This 452-nucleotide small RNA is filed under the name Arabidopsis thaliana (thale cress). The record is from RNAcentral. Lineage: Eukaryota; Viridiplantae; Streptophyta; Magnoliopsida; Brassicales; Brassicaceae.
UGUAUACCUCUAUAACUUUUAGACCGCGAGGCCAAACUUUGCAUGUGAUACCUUUUCGGAAAGCCCAAAGAGAGCUAUAUGAAUGAGGAAGGAAAUUGGAAUCCUUCUAUUGAUUUUUUUUCUACUCAAAAUUUUGACCUUAAUGUACUUUUUCUAUCCUUUUCGUGAUCUUUGCUAUAUUACGGGACAAAAAUUAUAUGUUCAGACAUUGUUUUCCAAUUUUUUGCAUGUAUCAAAGCUCUUAUAAACAAGAUAGGGUAUUCCUACAUAGCUGGUGGGACCCACGGCAAAUGGAUCAUAAAGUCUUCAAAAACGAAUAGAUACGAUUGCAUUGCUUGUAGUAACGGAUGCGAUCAUAUCAGCCCUUAUGCAUCAGAUCCCAUCAAUACUCUGCAGUUAAGCUUGCUUGGGCGAGAAUAGUAUUAGGAUGGGUGACCUCCGGGAAAGUCCUU